Molecule: ribosomal RNA, 305 nt
Filed under: uncultured bacterium
Lineage: Bacteria
Description: partial 16S ribosomal RNA
Rfam family: Bacterial small subunit ribosomal RNA
Source: RNAcentral
ACAGCAGUCGCCGCGGGAAUACGAAGGGGGCUAGCGUUGUUCGGAAUUACUGGGCGUAAAGCGCACGUAGGCGGAUAUUUAAGUCAGGGGUGAAAUCCCGCAGCUCAACUGCGGAACUGCCUUUGAUACUGGGUAUCUUGAGUAUGGAAGAGGUUAGUGGAAUUGCGAGUGUAGAGGUGAAAUUCGUAGAUAUUCGCAGGAACACCAGUGGCGAAGGCGGCUAACUGGUCCAUAACUGACGCUGAGGUGCGAAAGCGUGGGGAGCAAACAGGAUUAGAUACCCCAGUAGUCCCUGUCUCUUAUAA